This 69-nucleotide transfer RNA is filed under the name Hybognathus placitus (plains minnow). RNAcentral describes it as "tRNA-Ala". It matches the Rfam family "tRNA". From Rfam's summary of the family: Transfer RNA (tRNA) molecules are approximately 80 nucleotides in length. The record is from RNAcentral. Lineage: Eukaryota; Metazoa; Chordata; Actinopteri; Cypriniformes; Leuciscidae.
AAGGCCUUAGUUUAACAAAAACAUUUGAUUUGCAUUCAGAAGAUGCAAGAUAAACUCUUGUAGGCCUUA